ACAAAAUAUCCACCUUUUUAAGGUGUCACAACAAAACAGUAUCCACCACGACAAGAGACAAAGACAAUGCGCUACCAUAGGAUCAUACUCUCUUCAAAAUCAGCCAAACUGACUACUACACCCAGGAAGAAAGCAAAAAGAAACAUCUGACUACUACACCCAGGAAGAAAGCAAAAAGAAACAUUGUCAAUACAGAAAAAGCUAUAAAAGGAAAAGGAAGUCCCUCAUCUCACAAUCAAUUCAACCAAACUCUUUUCCAUCACUUAAGAUGUUCCAUUAUAUCCGUAAGCACCACUUCUUCACGGCAAUGCCCG
Molecule: long non-coding RNA, 314 nt
Filed under: Capsicum annuum
Lineage: Eukaryota; Viridiplantae; Streptophyta; Magnoliopsida; Solanales; Solanaceae
Description: long non-coding RNA (CANN_LNC012932)
Source: RNAcentral